Molecule: ribosomal RNA, 446 nt
Filed under: uncultured bacterium
Lineage: Bacteria
Description: partial 16S ribosomal RNA
Rfam family: Bacterial small subunit ribosomal RNA
Source: RNAcentral
CCUACGGGAGGCUGCAGUCGAGAAUCAUUCACAAUGGGGGAAACCCUGAUGGUGCGACGCCGCGUGGGGGAAUGAAGGUCUUCGGAUUGUAAACCCCUGUCAUGUGGGAGCAAAUUAAAAAGAUAGUACCACACGAGGAAGAGACGGCUAACUCUGUGCCAGCAGCCGCGGUAAUACAGAGGUCUCAAGCGUUGUUCGGAAUCACUGGGCGUAAAGCGUGCGUAGGCUGUUUCGUAAGUCGUGUGUGAAAGGCGCGGGCUCAACCCGCGGACGGCACAUGAUACUGCGAGACUAGAGUAAUGGAGGGGGAACCGGAAUUCUCGGUGGAGCAGUGAAAUGCGUAGAUAUCGAGAGGAACACUCGUGGCGAAGGCGGGUUCCUGGACAUUAACUGACGCUGAGGCACGAAGGCCAGGGGAGCGAAAGGGAUUAGAUACCCUUGUAGUC